Molecule: ribosomal RNA, 235 nt
Filed under: uncultured bacterium
Lineage: Bacteria
Description: partial 16S ribosomal RNA
Rfam family: Bacterial small subunit ribosomal RNA
Source: RNAcentral
CGCACGGGUGAGUAACACGUACCCAACCUGCCGUCUACUCUUGGACAGCCUUCUGAAAGGAAGAUUAAUACAAGAUGGCAUCAUGAGUCCGCAUGUUCACAUGAUUAAAGGUAUUCCGGUAGACGAUGGGGAUGCGUUCCAUUAGAUAGUAGGCGGGGUAACGGCCCACCUAGUCUUCGAUGGAUAGGGGUUCUGAGAGGAAGGUCCCCCACAUUGGAACUGAGACACGGUCCAA